RNAcentral lists this ribosomal RNA (671 nucleotides) under Umbelopsis isabellina. Its description in RNAcentral is "eukaryotic LSU rRNA". It matches the Rfam family "Eukaryotic large subunit ribosomal RNA", at positions 58 to 648 of the family's 3401-position model. The record is from RNAcentral. Lineage: Eukaryota; Fungi; Mucoromycota; Umbelopsidomycetes; Umbelopsidales; Umbelopsidaceae.
AAAGAAACUAACAAGGAUUCCCCUAGUAACGGCGAGUGAAGCGGGAAGAGCUCAAAUUUAAAAUCUGGCUUGCUUGCAAGUCCGAGUUGUAGUCUGAAGAAACGUUUUCCAUGAAAGCUGAGGCACAAGUCCUUUGGAACAGGGCAUCAUAGAGGGUGAGAAUCCCGUCCAUGGUCUCAUGCAUUUUAUUUUGUGAUACGUUUUCUAAGAGUCAGGUUGUUUGGGAAUGCAGCCUAAAAUGGGUGGUAAAUUUCAUCUAAAGCUAAAUAUUGGCGAGAGACCGAUAGCGAACAAGUACCGUGAGGGAAAGAUGAAAAGAACUUUGAAAAGAGAGUUAAAAAGUACGUGAAAUUGUUGAAAGGGAACCGUUUGAAGCCAGUCUUGCUUACUUGUGAUCAAUCUUAACUUCGGUUUGGAUGCACUCUCGAGUUAUGCAGGUCAACGUCAGUUUGAGAGGUGGGAAAAAAGUUUGAGGAAUGUGGCCUUCGGGUGUUAUAGCCUCUUACUAAAUACCAUCUCCUGGACUGAGGCUCGCAGCAAAAAUGUGGGUUGGUUUGCUCCUGAGGUGAAUCAUUAUUAAGACAGCUUGCUGACUUAGUUUUGUGGAUCUUCACGGUAGACCAGCUUCUAAUUUGCUUAGGUCGUUGACAAAGUAAUGGCUCUUAAAUGAC